GGUUCCAAAGCUUAGUGGUUAGAGCACUGGUCUUAUAAACUAGGAGUUCAGAAUUCAAUCCUUGCUGGACCCU
This is a non-coding RNA of Pangasianodon gigas (Mekong giant catfish), 73 nucleotides long. NCBI's taxonomy places the organism in Eukaryota, Metazoa, Chordata, Actinopteri, Siluriformes, Pangasiidae. The record is from the annotation of a GenBank genome assembly.